RNAcentral lists this long non-coding RNA (758 nucleotides) under Bos taurus (domestic cattle). RNAcentral's name for it is "long non-coding RNA NONBTAT002953". The record is from RNAcentral. Lineage: Eukaryota; Metazoa; Chordata; Mammalia; Artiodactyla; Bovidae.
AUUAAAAAAAAGAAUGUUGGAAGUCUAAUACAAUGUCUUCAAAAUUCAAAAUCGAUGUUAAUUGAUUUUCUUGAUUGUUUCAGUUAGUAUUUACUUUUUCUCUAUUUUAUAAUUACUAGAAAGGACUUAAUAUUUCUCUGUAUUUUAUUAAAAAUGCAGUCUCGUGUUGGUAUUCUGCCAGGGUAGUAUUUUAUAUCACAUUUAAAAUGUACUAAACUGAAAAUGAGUCAUGGUCUGACUUUUUCUAGAUCCUCAAGUUGUAAUUAUGUGCAAUUUUUUUCUUGCUUUCUUAUAAAAAAAUUGACAAGAUAUGAUAGAAGUAAUGAAAAUAUUUCGGUGAAUAGAGAAGUACUUGCAUACUAUCACUAAAUAAACUUCUAGGACUACAAUGUAUUUUUUAUUUUUACAUGCUUUAGUAAAAAGCAAUAAAAUUCAUAAUGGAUAAAUGCAAUUAAUAGUUUCUAAUGAGCAAUUUAUUCAUUAGAUAUUUUUCAUUAUUAGGGACAUCUGUAUUUUUUUCCUAUUAAAUCUCAUAUACAAGCGUUUUCUUUUUACAAAUUUGACCUUACAUAAUUUUUAUUAAAUAUGCUUAAACAUGUCAUUUGGGAAUUUUUCAAUCUUAAGGAGACUCUGCAUAUUUUCUACCCUUUCUCCAAGCUAUUUUACUAUUUUUUUUUUUCUAUUUUCAAAAAGACCUCUUUGGGUUUUUGGAGAAGGAAUUCGUGUAUGUUGAUAUGGAUUUUAAAGUACUCUUGUGG